CAGUAAGGAAAGUAGCUAUUGGCUGUCACAAAAGUCGCCAGAAAUCGCUAAAUGAUGUCAUUGCCUAAUUUGCAUAACUUGCCAUGUGCAUAUAAUUGUGAUGGACGCUGUAGGAGAGAGGAAUAACGUCGUGGGAGAGACAAAAAGACCUGAGCCCUAGGACCAUGCCUCAGGACUACCUUGCCUGAUGAGUCCUUGCUGUCCCCAGUCCACCUGGUCGUGCUGCUGCUCCAGUUUCAACUAUUCUGCCUGCAGCUAUGGAACCCUGACCUGUUCCACCAUAAUUUGCAAAUAAAUUGUGACAAUGUGA
Molecule: long non-coding RNA, 310 nt
Organism: Oncorhynchus keta (chum salmon)
Lineage: Eukaryota; Metazoa; Chordata; Actinopteri; Salmoniformes; Salmonidae
Exons: 2
Source: RefSeq, a predicted model, not a curated record